GUCUUAUUUGCCAUCAGGCGGAAAUGACCUGAAGAUCCACAACGACGAUUCCAAACUGCAAAUCCCAAUGUUUUGUAGGAGUCAAAACAGAGCUUUCCAUGAUUCCAAGGAAGAAGAAAAAAAACCCCAAACAGCAGAACUUGGAAGGAUGAGAGAUUCCAGCAGAAAGAUAAAUCUUGGCUGCCUUCAGGUUCCUUGGCUGUUACUUCUCGAAAACAGAGAAUUAGCGUCAUUGCAUGAGUGAUGGGCCUCGCUCUUCUGCUGUAAGACCUUUGAUGAAUGGGACUUAUGGCAACGGAGGCACUUAGCAUGAAAUAGUCCAGGCGCUUUGGCCAUGUUUCAAGGUGCAUCUACACCAGUGUUUCCCAACCUUUUUUUGACCAGGGACCAUACUCUAACAUUAGUACUAAAAGGGUUCAAAUCGGGUUUUGGUCAACUUUAGAAUUUUUUUGGUUAUUUGGGGUGCUGAUUCAGAAAACUGCAUUGGCUAGACCACAUCAGCUCUAGUUUCUGAUACAGAACAUAUGCCAUCCAGUCUUUGCCAUCUGUUCACCCACAGGAAACCAUAUUCAAUAAGCUUCAUCACCCUAACAGAGUUUUGCAAGACUAGUCGCUCUCAUUGCAAUGGUGUAGUAACAGUGAGGCUGCGGACCAUAUUUUUGUUCUUGUGGACCACUGGUAGUCUGUGGGGACCCACUGAUCUACACUGUGGAACGAAUGAAGCUUGACACCAUUUUCUGCGCCAUGGCUCAAGUCUAUGGAGUCCUGUGAGUCGUAGUUUGGUAGGGCACCAAUGCUCCUCGGCAGAGAUGGCAAAGGACUUUGUAGAACUACAGCUCCUAAAAUUCCACAGCACUGAGCCAAGGCAAUAAAAGCGAUGUCAAACAGCA
This is a non-coding RNA of Anolis sagrei ordinatus, 890 nucleotides long. NCBI's taxonomy places the organism in Eukaryota, Metazoa, Chordata, Lepidosauria, Squamata, Anolidae. The record is from RefSeq and is a predicted model, not a curated record.